Molecule: long non-coding RNA, 770 nt
Organism: Pogonomyrmex barbatus (red harvester ant)
Lineage: Eukaryota; Metazoa; Arthropoda; Insecta; Hymenoptera; Formicidae
Source: RefSeq, a predicted model, not a curated record
UGUUGAAUAUAAUUUACCUUAUUUUUGACCAACUGUUUAUAUGUCUCAAUCAACCAUGCGUCGCUUCCGCGCGUCGCUUUUUUUUUUUGUUUAUUUCUGCACGAAGUUCAAUUCAAAUCUAUAUGUUGAUACACUGAUAAAAAUUAAAUUUCAAACCAUAUAAAAAAAUAUAUAAAUUUGAAUACCAAACUACUGAUACUACUGAUCUGUGAAAAAUGUCGGUAGAAAUAAACAACAGUUACGAUUCAAUGUUGAAGGACAUGUUUGUUAUUGUACACUUACAGAUAUCCUGUUUACAGAUAUCAACGAUUUUCACAGAUCAGUAGUGUUACGAUCAUCAUCAGUAUCGUACCGAUAUCACCAUCAUACCGACAAUAUAUAUUAGCCAGUCAAGCACUUAAAGAACUUUAAUACGUCCAUCAUGACAUAGAUUUCUAAAAAACGAAUUGGAACUUAACGAUUAUACUGUUGUCAAUUGGAAAAAUUUUUGUCGAGAAUUACUUCACAACAAUGGCUUGAGAAAGAACAAAAAUAAAUUGGUGGACUAGGUAAAAUAGUAGAACUGGAUGAAGCUAAAAUAGGCAAAAGAAAAUACAAUACCGGUCGUAUAAUUAGAGGACAGUGGGUUUUUGACGGAAUUGAACGCAAUAGAAUGUAUUUGUUUUGCCUGUAACAAAUCGAUCUGUCAAAACUCUUUUACCAAUUUUCAAAAAUUAUGUCGCAGCUAGCUCUAUUAUCCAUAUCGAUAAAUGGCGAGCAUACGUAAUGAA